CCUAUCAGUUUUGUUGGGUGAGGUAAUGGCCCACCAAGACUAUUACAGGUACGGGGCUCUGAGAGGAGUGGCACCGGAAGAUGGGUACUGAGACACGGACCCAGGCCCUAUGGGGCGCAGCAGGCGAGAAAACUUUGCAAUGUGCGAAAGCACGACAAGGUUAAUCCGAGUGGUUUCUGCUAAAGAAACCUUUUGUCAGUCCUAGAAACACUAACGAAUAAGGGGUGGGCAAGUUCUGGUGUCAGCCGCCGCGGUAAAACCAGCACCUCAAGUGGUCAGGAUGAUUAUUGGGCCUAAAGCAUCCGUAGCUCGUUUUGUAAGUUUUCGGUUAAAUCCAUGCGCUUAACGUAUGGGCUGCCGGGAAUACUGCAUAACUAGGAAGUGGGAGAGGUAGACGGUACUCGGUAGGAAGGGGUAAAAUCCUUUGAUCUAUUGAUGACCACCUGUGGCGAAGGCGGUCUACCAGAACACGUUCGACGGUGAGGGAUGAAAGCUGGGGGAGCAAACCGGAUUAGAUACCCGGGUAGUCCCAGCUGUAAACUAUGCAAACUCAGUGAUGCAUUGGCUUGUGGCCAAUGCAGUGCUGCAGGGAAGCCGUUAAGUUUGCCGCCUGGGAAGUACGUACGCAAGUAUGAAACUUAA
This 642-nucleotide ribosomal RNA is filed under the name uncultured Nitrososphaerota archaeon. Its description in RNAcentral is "bacterial SSU rRNA". It matches the Rfam family "Archaeal small subunit ribosomal RNA", at positions 221 to 859 of the family's 1478-position model. The record is from RNAcentral. Lineage: Archaea; Thermoproteati; Nitrososphaerota.